UACGUAGGGUGCGAGCGUUAAUCGGAAUUACUGGGCGUAAAGCGUGCGCAGGCGGUUGUGCAAGACAGGUGUGAAAUCCCCGGGCUUAACCUGGGAACUGCACUUGUGACUGCACAGCUGGAGUACGGCAGAGGGGGAUGGAAUUCCGCGUGUAGCAGUGAAAUGCGUAGAGAUGUGGAGGAACACCGAUGGCGAAGGCAGCCUCCUGGGCCAGCACUGACGCUCAUGCACGAAAGCGUGGGGAGCAAACAGG
This 253-nucleotide ribosomal RNA is filed under the name uncultured bacterium. RNAcentral describes it as "partial 16S ribosomal RNA". It matches the Rfam family "Bacterial small subunit ribosomal RNA", at positions 524 to 776 of the family's 1533-position model. The record is from RNAcentral.